GAUGAAGAACGCAGCGAAAUGCGAUAAGUAAUGUGAAUUGCAGAAUUCAGUGAAUCAUCGAAUCUUUGAACGCAUCUUGCGCUCCUUGGUAUUCCUUGGAGCAUGCCUGUUUGAGUAUCAUGAGCAAAUCUCAAAGUCAAUUCCUUUUGUUGAUUCAUUUGGUUUUGCUUUGGACUUGGAGGCCUUGCAGAUUUCACAGUCUGCUCCUCUUAAAUGCAUUAGCUGGAUCUCAGUAAUUAUGCUUGGUUCCACUCGGCGUGAUAAGUAUCACUCGCUGAGGACACUGUUAAAAAGGUGGCCAGGAAAAUACUGAUUGAACCGCUUCUAACGGUCUAUUAAGUUAGACAAUUACCCUUAAGUUUGAUCUCAAAUCAGGUAGGACUACCCGCUGAACUUAAGCAUAUCAAUAAGCGGAGGA
Molecule: unclassified non-coding RNA, 418 nt
Filed under: soil metagenome
Description: partial contains 5.8S ribosomal RNA, internal transcribed spacer 2, and large subunit ribosomal RNA
Rfam family: 5.8S ribosomal RNA (bases 1-120)
Source: RNAcentral